Drosophila sulfurigaster albostrigata is the source of this 1885-nucleotide RNA transcript. It is a transcript of the gene named putative GPI-anchor transamidase, with no coding region annotated. The transcript is spliced from 7 exons. The record is from RefSeq and is a predicted model, not a curated record. Lineage: Eukaryota; Metazoa; Arthropoda; Insecta; Diptera; Drosophilidae.
UCUUACAGCUCUGGCAGCGCUGACAGCAGGAACAGGGCUGACAACACACAACGCCGGCAACACAAAAUUAAAUGCAAAACAUUAAAAUGAUAGUAAAACAAAACAUGCUGCUUAAAGGAAUUGUGUUGUGUAUAAUCUUUAUUGCGGGCUGCGCUGCGGAUCAUACAACGUUACCCGAGAGCUUUGUGAAUGCCGCCCAGCAAUCGACGCAUACCAAUAAUUGGGCGGUGCUGGUGGAUGCAUCGCGCUUCUGGUUCAACUAUCGUCAUGUGGCCAACGUGCUCUCCAUCUACCGUUCCGUGAAGCGUCUGGGCAUUCCUGACUCGCAAAUCAUUCUAAUGAUUGCCGACGACAUGGCAUGCAAUGCUCGCAAUCCCCGCCCAGGUCAGGUGUACAACAAUGCCAACCAGCACAUCAAUGUGUAUGGCGAUGAUGUGGAGGUCGACUAUCGCGGCUACGAGGUCACCGUAGAAAACUUUGUGCGUCUGCUCACGGGACGCACCCAGAAUGGUACGGCACGGUCCAAGAAGCUGCUCUCUGAUGCAGGCAGCAAUGUGCUGAUCUAUUUGACGGGACAUGGUGGUGACGGUUUUCUCAAGUUCCAGGACUCAGAAGAGAUAACCAGUCAGGAGUUGGCCGAUGGCAUUCAGCAGAUGUGGGAAAAGAAACGCUAUAACGAACUCUUCUUUAUGGUGGACACUUGCCAGGCGGCCUCGCUCUAUGAGAAGUUCACCUCACCUAAUGUUCUGGCGGUGGCCAGCAGUCUGGUCGGCGAGGAUUCGCUAUCGCAUCAUGUGGAUCCUUCGAUUGGCGUCUACAUGAUCGAUCGCUACACUUAUUAUGCACUCGAGUUUCUGGAGAAGGUUCAGCCCUUUAGUAAGCGAACAAUUGGCGAAUUUCUGCAAGUGUGCCCCAAGCGCGUCUGCAUCUCGACUGUCGGUGUCCGCAAGGAUCUCUAUCGACGGGAUCCGCAUAAGGUGCCCAUCACCGACUUCUUUGGCGCUAUUCGGCCCACUCGCGUCUCCACGGAACGCAUCAAUGUGACGCUGGCCAACGAAGAGGACUUUGUUAACGAUGUCGCAAAUGUGCAGCAAAAGAAAGAGUUCAAGAUCAUAAUGGAGCCACAGUUCACAGCUGAAUUAUUGAAAUGACCUGAAUGUACAUAGACUAGCUUUGGUAAGGAUUACUGCGUUGAGAUGGCGAUGAAGAAACAGAAAGAGGAAGACAGCGAGAUAGAGAGAGAGAAAAUGAAGUCGAAUGUUGUACACAUUUCAUGUGAUAAUAUUAACUUUAUUCAUCAUUCGCAUUCCGCAUUGUAAUUACAUCAAAUAUAUCUGUUUUUAAAUUAUACUUUUGUUUUUGUCGUCUUUCUUUUUCUUUUUACUAUCAAAACGCUCUCUAAUCCAUCAAGUAACAUUCAUAUCAAAUCUAAAAAAAUUAAAAAUAAACAAAAACCAUACAUACAAUAUCUCUUGUAUACUUAUAUAAAAGGUAUGAGGCAAGUUCGAAAAAUUUGUUUGAUUCGACAAGCACUCUUACAGUUUGUAGAAUCCACAUGAAUUCACGAAAAAAAACAGUAUUAAUACAUCAUUUUAUUUUUGGUUUUUUUUUUCUUUGUUUUCGUUUACAUCCUUUCGCUAAUUUGGUAUACACAAAAAAAAAACAUCUUUAAAGAGUAACAAUGGCAUUUCUUGCGCUGUUCGCUUCCUGAACGUGUCGAGAUCGUCCAGAACUUGCACAGGACGACGAUUACUCUUUAACGUAUGGAAGGAUCUACAUGUUCUUCUUUCAUUAUAAUUAUCUGCUAUCGUUAUUAUUUUCGUUCAUUUUCAUAUACAUAUGUAUAAAUCUUUUGUUGUUGUUCUUGUUAUUGUGUGAAAUUAUG